This 501-nucleotide ribosomal RNA is filed under the name uncultured Glomus. Its description in RNAcentral is "SSU rRNA". It matches the Rfam family "Eukaryotic small subunit ribosomal RNA", at positions 569 to 1074 of the family's 1831-position model. Lineage: Eukaryota; Fungi; Glomeromycota; Glomeromycetes; Glomerales; Glomeraceae. The record is from RNAcentral.
AGCAGCCGCGGUAAUUCCAGCUCCAAUAGCGUAUAUUAAAGUUGUUGCAGUUAAAAAGCUCGUAGUUGAAUUUCGGGAUCAAUACGUCGGUCGUGCUUCGGUACGUACUGGUGUCAUUGAUUUCUCCCUUCUGACGAACCAUGAUGUCAUUAACUUGGUGUCUUGGGAAAUCAGGACUGUUACUUUGAAAAAAUUAGAGUGUUUAAAGCAGGCUCACGCUUGAAUACAUUAGCAUGGGAUAAUGAAAUAGGACGUUCGAUCCUAUUUUGUUGGUUUUAGGAUCAACGUAAUGAUUAAUAGGGAUAGUUGGGGGCAUUAGUAUUCAAUUGUCAGAGGUGAAAUUCUUGGAUUUAUUGAAGACUAACUACUGCGAAAGCAUUUGCCAAGGAUGUUUUCAUUAAUCAAGAACGAAAGUUAGGGGAUCGAAGAUGAUCAGAUACCGUCGUAGUCUUAACCAUAAACUAUGCCGACUAGGGAUCAGAUGAUGUUAAUUUUUAAUGA